AUUGAACGCUGGCGGCAGGCCUAACACAUGCAAGUCGAGCGGAUGAAGGGGGCUUGCUCCUGGAUUCAGCGGCGGACGGGUGAGUAAUGCCUAGGAAUCUGCCUGGUAGUGGGGGAUAACGUCCGGAAACGGGCGCUAAUACCGCAUACGUCCUGAGGGAGAAAGUGGGGGAUCUUCGGACCUCACGCUAUCAGAUGAGCCUAGGUCGGAUUAGCUAGUUGGUGGGGUAAAGGCCUACCAAGGCGACGAUCCGUAACUGGUCUGAGAGGAUGAUCAGUCACACUGGAACUGAGACACGGUCCAGACUCCUACGGGAGGCAGCAGUGGGGAAUAUUGGACAAUGGGCGAAAGCCUGAUCCAGCCAUGCCGCGUGUGUGAAGAAGGUCUUCGGAUUGUAAAGCACUUUAAGUUGGGAGGAGGGGCAGUAAGUUAAUACCUUGCUGUUUUGACGUUACCAACAGAAUAAGCACCGGCUAACUUCGUG
This 484-nucleotide ribosomal RNA is filed under the name uncultured bacterium. RNAcentral describes it as "partial 16S ribosomal RNA". It matches the Rfam family "Bacterial small subunit ribosomal RNA", at positions 30 to 507 of the family's 1533-position model. The record is from RNAcentral.